Molecule: ribosomal RNA, 609 nt
Filed under: bacterium
Lineage: Bacteria
Description: bacterial SSU rRNA
Rfam family: Bacterial small subunit ribosomal RNA
Source: RNAcentral
AAUUUGCUGACGAGCGGCGGACGGGUGAGUAAUGCCUGGGAAUAUGCCUUAGUGUGGGGGAUAACUAUUGGAAACGAUAGCUAAUACCGCAUAACGUCUUCGGACCAAAGAGGGGGACCUUCGGGCCUCUCGCGCUAAGAUUAGCCCAGGUGGGAUUAGCUAGUUGGUGAGGUAAAGGCUCACCAAGGCAACGAUCCCUAGCUGGUCUGAGAGGAUGAUCAGCCACACUGGAACUGAGACACGGUCCAGACUCCUACGGGAGGCAGCAGUGGGGAAUAUUGCACAAUGGGGGAAACCCUGAUGCAGCCAUGCCGCGUGUAUGAAGAAGGCCUUCGGGUUGUAAAGUACUUUCAGUCGUGAGGAAGGGUGUGUAGUUAAUAGCUGCAUGCCUUGACGUUAGCGACAGAAGAAGCACCGGCUAACUCCGUGCCAGCAGCCGCGGUAAUACGGAGGGUGCGAGCGUUAAUCGGAAUUACUGGGCGUAAAGCGCAUGCAGGCGGUCUGUUAAGCAAGAUGUGAAAGCCCGGGGCUCAACCUCGGAACCGCAUUUUGAACUGGCAGACUAGAGUCUUGUAGAGGGGGGUAGAAUUUCAGGUGUAGCGGUGAAAU